RNAcentral lists this ribosomal RNA (450 nucleotides) under uncultured bacterium. RNAcentral describes it as "partial 16S ribosomal RNA". It matches the Rfam family "Bacterial small subunit ribosomal RNA", at positions 354 to 796 of the family's 1533-position model. The record is from RNAcentral.
GUGGGGAAUAUUGGACAAUGGGCGAAAGCCUGAUCCAGCCAUGCCGCGUGUGUGAAGAAGGUCUUCGGAUUGUAAAGCACUUUAAGUUGGGAGGAAGGGCAGUAAGUUAAUACCUUGCUGUUUUGACGUUACCGACAGAAUAAGCACCGGCUAACUUCGUGCCAGCAGCCGCGGUAAUACGAAGGGUGCAAGCGUUAAUCGGAAUUACUGGGCGUAAAGCGCGCGUAGGUGGUUUUGUAAGUUGGAGGUGAAAUCCCCGGGCUCAACCUGGGAACUGCCUCCAAAACUGCAUGACUAGAGUACGGUAGAGGGUAGUGGAAUUUCCUGUGUAGCGGUGAAAUGCGUAGAUAUAGGAAGGAACACCAGUGGCGAAGGCUACUACCUGGACUGAUACUGACACUGAGGUGCGAAAGCGUGGGGAGCAAACAGGAUUAGAUACCCCGGUAGUCC